UUUUCCGUCUCUGACGCAAGUUAUGCGACAAUUAGCGACCGGUUUAUAAGCAAAACAUUUGUUGAAUUUGAUGGUAAGGGUAAUCGUUCAGUAUUUAAAAUUCGCUUGCUGCUCCUAUUGAUUGCAUAGUCGACAGAAGUUACCAAAACCUUGACAAACAUCAACGAUCGUUUUAAAAGUCAACGAAGGAAAUCAAAAUGUCAAAAAUUAUUUUACUGUUAUCAAUAUUUACGUUAUUGAUUGGGCUUGUGGUGAAUGAAAAGAUUGACGAAAAUUGUUAUUAUAAAGCAUGUUUUUCUGACAGCCUGUGCUGUGAAGGAUUCUACUGCUUUUUUAGUGGCUUCAAUGGGAGUUGUUGGCCAAAAUAAACAAUUGGUGGAAUUUCCAAUUCGAGGUUUCAAUAAUUUAAUUUCAACAUCUAUUAAAUUAUUCCUCCAAGUAAAAUUAUAUAAGACGCAUCAACACAUGAAUAAAUAGUAUUGCGCUCUAUCACAAUAAAAAAUGGUCAUUAUUUUGUAAUAUAUU
Microplitis mediator is the source of this 525-nucleotide long non-coding RNA. RefSeq lists it as uncharacterized. The transcript has 3 exons. Lineage: Eukaryota; Metazoa; Arthropoda; Insecta; Hymenoptera; Braconidae. The record is from RefSeq and is a predicted model, not a curated record.